AACGAACGCUGGCGGCAUGCCUAACACAUGCAAGUCGAACGAGACCUUCGGGUCUAGUGGCGCACGGGUGCGUAACGCGUGGGAAUCUGCCCUUUGCUUCGGAAUAACAGUUAGAAAUGACUGCUAAUACCGGAUGAUGUCUUCGGACCAAAGAUUUAUCGGCAAAGGAUGAGCCCGCGUAGGAUUAGGUAGUUGGUGGGUAAAGGCCUACCAAGCCGACGAUCCUUAGCUGGUCUGAGAGGAUGAUCAGCCACACUGGGACUGAGACACGGCCCAGACUCCUACGGGAGGCAGCAGUGGGGAAUAUUGGACAAUGGGCGCAAGCCUGAUCCAGCAAUGCCGCGUGAGUGAUGAAGGCCUUCGGUCGUAAAGCUCUUUACCAGGGAUGAUAAUGACAGUACCUGGAGAAUAAGCUCCGGCUAACUCCGUGCCAGCAGCCGCGGUAAU
This 447-nucleotide ribosomal RNA is filed under the name uncultured bacterium. Its description in RNAcentral is "bacterial SSU rRNA". It matches the Rfam family "Bacterial small subunit ribosomal RNA", at positions 29 to 524 of the family's 1533-position model. The record is from RNAcentral.